RNAcentral lists this transfer RNA (66 nucleotides) under Pielomastax zhengi. RNAcentral's name for it is "tRNA-Leu". The record is from RNAcentral. Lineage: Eukaryota; Metazoa; Arthropoda; Insecta; Orthoptera; Episactidae.
UCUAAUAUGACAGACUAAUGUGAUAGAUUUAAGAUCUAUAUAUAAAGAUUUAUUCUUUUGUUAGAA